Molecule: ribosomal RNA, 492 nt
Filed under: uncultured bacterium
Lineage: Bacteria
Description: partial 16S ribosomal RNA
Rfam family: Bacterial small subunit ribosomal RNA
Source: RNAcentral
AGUGAACGCUGGCGGUAGGCCUAACACAUGCAAGUCGAACGGCAGCACAGUAAGAGCUUGCUCUUACGGGUGGCGAGUGGCGGACGGGUGAGGAAUACAUCGGAAUCUACUUUUUCGUGGGGGAUAACGUAGGGAAACUUACGCUAAUACCGCAUACGACCUACGGGUGAAAGCAGGGGAUCUUCGGACCUUGCGCGAUUGCAUGAGCCGAUGUCGGAUUAGCUAGUUGGCGGGGUAAAGGCCCACCAAGGCGACGCUCCGUAGCUGGUCUGAGAGGAUGAUCAGGCACACUGGAGCUGAGACACGGCCCAGAGUCCUACGGGAGGCAGCCGUGGGGAAUAUUGGACAAUGGGCGGAAGCCUGCUCCAGCCAUACCGCGUGGGUGAAGAAGGCCUUCGGGUUGUAAAGCCCUUUUGUUGGGAAAGAAAAGCAGCAGGUGAAUACCCCGCUGUUCUGACGGUACCCAAAGAAUAAGCACCGGCUAACUUCGUG